CAGCUUCUCCAGUGCAAGUGGAUUUUCGCACCAACAUCAUCCAAGAAGAUGUCCUCUCAAAUUUAAGUAAUUUUGUAUUCUCAAUCCAAAGAUUCAAGUUUUGAAAGUAAAGAAUCUGAGUUCUGCACGAAAAGAAUUUGAUAAAGGAAAGUUCAAUCUAGAAAGAUAUCUCAACAAGUCCAUCUAUUCAAAAAUUAAGUUUG
RNAcentral lists this long non-coding RNA (203 nucleotides) under Elaeis guineensis (African oil palm). RNAcentral describes it as "long non-coding RNA (EGUI_LNC062704)". The record is from RNAcentral. Lineage: Eukaryota; Viridiplantae; Streptophyta; Magnoliopsida; Arecales; Arecaceae.